UUUAAUUAUUAUUACAAUGUAUGAAUUAUAAGAUUGUCCUUCUUAUUGUAAUAAAAAUAGUCAUACCAGGAAGGUAUUAAUCAAUAUUUGAAUUUUCGCGGCACAAUGACGUAAUUGCUAUGCAUUUUUCGUCGGUGUAAAGAGGUUAGGAUGAUUGCACUUGUUAGCCAAUAAUAUAAACAAAUCUUAAUUAUGUAUCAUUGAUUAUAACAAGUGGCAGGGGGGCACGGGGCAAGCAUGUUGUCAUUUUUUCGAAAAAUCUCAAUUGGGGGGAAGAUAAAAGAUGGUUUGCCAACAGGCGACGAAAUGGAGGUUACAGAAGGCUGCACAGACGUAAAAGAUCAAAUUCUCGCUUCGCAAUCGGACACUGAGCUUAAGGAAUCUGUUUAUGAUCUAUUGAGAACGAUUAAGGAUCCUGAAAAGCCACAAACGUUGGAACAACUGGAUGUUGUGUACGAAGAUUGUGUUGAAAUUUCAAAGCAUACUCCAAAAGGAGUAUCCGUGAUACGCAUCGAGUUCAAUCCAACUGUACCGCAUUGCUCUUUAGCUACAUUGAUAGGUCUUUGUAUUAGGGUAAAAUUGGAACGUCAUUUAGUAGCUCUUUUUAAACUAGACAUAUACAUUAAGCAAGGUGCACACUCAACAGAGCAAGAAAUAAAUAAACAGAUAAAUGACAAGGAGAGGAUAGCAGCUGCCAUGGAGAAUCCUAAUUUAAGAGAAUUAGUGGAGAAGUGUAUCCAAGAAGAAGAAUGAAGGAAUAGAUUCUUUUGGUGCAUGGGUUUCAAUAGAUUAGAAGUUCUACCUCUGAUUUUUAAAGGGAUUUAUUGAUUAAAUGAUAAAUACAAGAACACAUUUUGGAUUAUAUGGGACUAGGGUCGUUUUUGCGUUGUUACCAAUGACAUAAAUGAAAGCUUUCGCAGUGUGUUAGACGGAUGCCUGCUAAAGAUCUCAAGAGUAUAGAGAUGUGUGAUUAUGAGGAUAUGAAAAUUUCGAAAUUUGAUGAUUUAUAAUUUUUAAAUUAAAAAAUUAUCUUCGUAUCAGUGGCUGAAAGUGCAGACGCCCUGCCUGCUCGUGCACUAUGCCCUUGCGGGCAUUGCCUAUCGUUGGUCAACGAAAGAACAAUUCCUUUAAAAGAAUCAAUUACAGUGAUGGAUUCCAAUACGAGAAAAACGAAUUGUAGCUCCGAAAGAUGACGACUUCGGGGAAGCUCGGAGGCAACGGGUGAGGGAAGUGACCAGUGAGAGGU
Unclassified non-coding RNA from Megachile rotundata (alfalfa leafcutting bee), 1246 nucleotides. NCBI's taxonomy places the organism in Eukaryota, Metazoa, Arthropoda, Insecta, Hymenoptera, Megachilidae. The record is from RefSeq and is a predicted model, not a curated record.